AUACGGAGGGUGCAAGCGUUAAACGGAAUUACUGGGCGUAAAGCGUACGUAGGCGGUUCGUUAAGUUAGAUGUGAAAGCCCCGGGCUUAACCUGGGAACUGCAUUUAAAACUGGCGAACUAGAGUUGAGUAGAGGGGAGUGGAAUUUCAGGUGUAGCGGUGAAAUGCGUAGAGAUCUGAAGGAACACCAGUGGCGAAGGCGACUCCCUGGACUCGAACUGACGCUGAGGUACGAAAGCGUGGGUAGCAAACGGGAUUAGAAACCCUAGUAGUCC
Molecule: ribosomal RNA, 274 nt
Filed under: uncultured bacterium
Lineage: Bacteria
Description: partial 16S ribosomal RNA
Rfam family: Bacterial small subunit ribosomal RNA
Source: RNAcentral